GGACACUGAACAAGAAAAAGCCUACCUCAUGUCUUGAGUCGCCUCCAGUCCAGCCCAUCAAGGUGUUUCAGGCUCUGGAGCAGUGCAGUCUGGGUCUGUGGCUGCAAGUCACCUGUUCCAGCACAUCCACUGCUAUAAUUAUUACUAGUCCUCCCAAUAUUACUAGAAUUAUCAAUGCCAUUAUAAAUUUUCUGUAGGGUUAGGGUUAUAUUUCUGUGUGUAUAUUGUGUUGGCUACUUCGAGGCAGAUGGCUGCCCACCUUGAGUCAUGGUUCUGUAUAAGGUUUCUCUACCUCCUAAAAGGGAGUAUUUCCUUGCCUGUGUUGCCAAUUGCUUGCUCACUGUGGGAACUUUUGGAUCUGUUAUUAGAGUAGAGUAUAGUCUAAUCCUGCUCUGUAUGAAAAGUGCAAUAGGAUAACUUCUGAAUUGGUGUUAUAUAAAAAAAAUUGAAUUGAAGUAAGCAACAAUCAGAAAAACAUUGCCAUUGACCAUGACACUAAGAACAGUGUGCUAAAAAGUAAAGGGUAAGAAGUAUGCAAAAAUGUAAUAAAAUGUGUUGUACUUAAAACUUUGAAAAGCAAUACACCACGUACCACUGUACAUAUGACUGAGAAUCCACACAGGGCCAGUGUUUUACAGUAUUUUUAUUUUGUCGGAAUGAGCGCUUCUGUUAUGUACAAUAGUGGACAGAAACAAAUGUUUCAGAAAUUAUAAAUAUACUGUUACUCCAAAC
This is a long non-coding RNA of Micropterus salmoides (largemouth bass), 732 nucleotides long. RefSeq lists it as uncharacterized. The record is from RefSeq and is a predicted model, not a curated record. Lineage: Eukaryota; Metazoa; Chordata; Actinopteri; Centrarchiformes; Centrarchidae. The transcript is spliced from 2 exons.